GUGGGUAUAGCUCAGAUGGUAGAGCAAAUGCUUAGCAUGCACGAGGUCCUGGGUUCAACCCCCAGUACCUCUU
This 73-nucleotide transfer RNA is filed under the name Camelus bactrianus (Bactrian camel). It matches the Rfam family "tRNA". From Rfam's summary of the family: Transfer RNA (tRNA) molecules are approximately 80 nucleotides in length. Their secondary structure includes four short double-helical elements and three loops (D, anti-codon, and T loops). The record is from Rfam by way of RNAcentral. Lineage: Eukaryota; Metazoa; Chordata; Mammalia; Artiodactyla; Camelidae. RNAcentral also lists the same sequence under 2 other names.